AACGAUAUAAGCAAAAGAAGCAUUCUUAUUAUUCAAUUCAGCAGAAGCAUCAAGUACAAAUAAACCCCCAUUACAAAAACCUUUCCCAACAAAUUCCCCAUUACGAGUAAGUACAAGUUUAUCAGACUCAAACACAAGCUUAAUGUCAGCUUUAUUCAACAAGGACCCAGACACAAGAUUCCUACGAAUAUCGGGCACAUGAAAU
This 205-nucleotide long non-coding RNA is filed under the name Panax ginseng (ginseng). RNAcentral describes it as "long non-coding RNA (PGIN_LNC016369)". Lineage: Eukaryota; Viridiplantae; Streptophyta; Magnoliopsida; Apiales; Araliaceae. The record is from RNAcentral.